Non-coding RNA from Pelobates cultripes (western spadefoot toad), 248 nucleotides. NCBI's taxonomy places the organism in Eukaryota, Metazoa, Chordata, Amphibia, Anura, Pelobatidae. The record is from the annotation of a GenBank genome assembly.
CAGACACACCUACCAUAUCAAAACCAACACAGACACACUCACGUAUCUAGGCGUCAGACUCACAGCGGAUCACAGCACACUAUUUAAACAUAAUUACACUCCACUGAUCACGAAACUCAAGACGGACUUGGAAACUUGGACAGACAAACCCAUCACGUGGAUAGGUCGCCUACACUCCAUAAAAAUGAACCUUUUACCAAGACUGCUAUCCCUAUUCCAAGCACUCCCGACUCGAGUGACCAAGAGUG